This 253-nucleotide ribosomal RNA is filed under the name uncultured bacterium. RNAcentral's name for it is "partial 16S ribosomal RNA". It matches the Rfam family "Bacterial small subunit ribosomal RNA", at positions 524 to 776 of the family's 1533-position model. The record is from RNAcentral.
UACAGAGGUGGCAAGCGUUGUUCGGAAUUACUGGGCGUAAAGGGCGCGUAGGCGGUCUUUUAAGUCUUGUGUGAAAUCCCUCGGCUCAACUGAGGAACUGCACGAGAUACUGGAAGACUUGAGUUCGGGAGAGGGAAGCGGAAUUCCGGGUGUAGCGGUGAAAUGCGUAGAUAUCUGAAGGAACACCAGUGGCGAAAGCGGCUUCCUGGUCCAGUACCGACGUUCAGGCACGAAAGCGUGGGGAGCAAACAGG